CUACGGGCCGCUCCAGUGGGGAAUAUUGCACAAUGGGCGCAAGCCUGAUGCAGCCAUGCCGCGUGUAUGAAAAAGGCCUUCGGGUUGUAAAGUACUUUCAGCGGGGAGGAAGGGAGUAAAGUUAAUACCUUUGCUCAUUGACGUUACCCGCAGAAGAAGCACCGGCUAACUCCGUGCCAGCAGCCGCGGUAAUACGGAGGGUGCAAGCGUUAAUCGGAAUUACUGGGCGUAAAGCGCACGCAGGCGGUUUGUUAAGUCAGAUGUGAAAUCCCCGGGCUCAACCUGGGAACUGCAUCUGAUACUGGCAAGCUCGAGUCUCGUAGAGGGGGGUAGAAUUCCAGGUGUAGCCGUGAAAUGCGUAGAGAUCUGGAGGAAUACCGGUGGCGAAGGCGGCCCCCUGGACGAAGACUGACGCUCAGGUGCGAAAGCGUGGGGAGCAAACAGGAUUAGAUACCCCUGUAGUC
This 464-nucleotide ribosomal RNA is filed under the name uncultured bacterium. RNAcentral's name for it is "partial 16S ribosomal RNA". It matches the Rfam family "Bacterial small subunit ribosomal RNA", at positions 339 to 795 of the family's 1533-position model. The record is from RNAcentral.